CCAAAAUCAAGCUUUGCUUAUUAUGAUGAGAUUGAGGAGUAACUCAAGGCUUAUGCUCUAUAUGAAUGAUUCACUUGCAAAAUGGUGGAUUAAAAUGGAAUGUAGGUAGUAGCUUUGGAAGCCCAAGGAUGAGCGGAGGUUUUUGAAUUAUAAGGGAUGCAGGGGAAUUUUGUUGCUGCCUUCUCAAACUAUGGAAUUGGUUUUAAUAGGUUUUAAUGGUUUUAACAGUAAUUGUAUAGAAAAAUAUGUUUAUUUUGUAAUUUUUUUAUUGAUAGUUUUGUACUAGUAUUUUGCUCACUCCUUAA
Molecule: long non-coding RNA, 305 nt
Organism: Carya illinoinensis
Lineage: Eukaryota; Viridiplantae; Streptophyta; Magnoliopsida; Fagales; Juglandaceae
Exons: 2
Source: RefSeq, a predicted model, not a curated record